CCUGCCUGGACUGUAGCUGCGGCUCAUGGGGCCCUUUAUACACAGCGCCUGGCCCAAGAAGAGCAGGCUCCCUCCCAGGCCUGGACACGGCAGGACGGGGACCCUGGGCUCUUCCCAGGGUGGCUGAAGGCACUGCCUGGCCCCCAAACAGGGGCAGGACCUCGAGGACUGGCACGCGCCCCUCCUGAAGCCUGCACGCUUGCCCCUGGGGCCUGCCACUGCGGGGGCACUGAUAGAAUGUGCUGGAAGCUCUGCCCUCUGUUGGGUGGUGGCGCCCUGUGUGGUGAAACACAGAACUCGCCAGGAUGAUCUGCUGGCCCACGCCCGGCCCAGGGAGGAGCCAGGCUUCACGCUCACCCCUGCCGGGCAUGGUGACACCAUGGUGGCACUGGCACAAGGCUCCCCCAGCUCUGAGAUCCGCACACGCCUGCCCUGGGUGUGGGACAAGCUGGAUUCUGACAGAUCCCAGGUUUGACUUGUUUGUGUUCUGGAACUGCUAAUUGCAGGGCGCUUUGGCAAGAUGCGGUCAUCUCUGGCUCCUCAGUGACCUGCCCUCAGGCUCCCUGGUGGGUCUGACAGGGGGUCAGGGGAGGGCCCCGUCUCAGGGCCUGGCCUGAUUCUCAGCUUCAGACCCGCAUGGGGCCGCCUCGCCUCUCAGAGAGACGGAAGCAAGGUGCUGGCUCCAAGGGGAAGCACCCAGCCGAGUCCCCCGCAGUCCCCUAGAGGGGCAGAGUGGGGGGCUGGGCCACCUGCCUUCCAGGGCCCUCUGUUCUCAUUCCCUGGGGGCUCUGGGAGGACGGGCAGGGUAGCAGGUGACCCCAGAGGUGCCUGCGGCCUGACUCACAGCCGUCCACCCAGGGCUGGGCUGCCGCGGUGGUGGCUCCUCGGGGACGGUCCGCCUCUCUGGUUGCCCGGCCUGCCCCGUCCAGGGUGCCCUGAGCACUCAGGGCCUCCUGCGUCACCUCACCAGUGACCUGCCUUCUUGGCUGCUCCUGAUGGUCCUGCACUGGCCCCUUCUGGGAACUUCUUCCAGGGGCUGCUGAUCCCUGGGCAUCUGUCCUACCUUCCCCUGCCACGUCCACACACCUGCACUGGGGCUGAGCCGGAGGCCAUGGGGGGCUGACCCCACCACAAGCCCCUCACCUCCUGCUGCCUGGUGUGGGAGCUGCACAGGGCCAGCACCUGCUGUCCAGGUACAGGGGGGAGGGACAGGCCAGCCAGUUUCUAUCCUGGCAGCACCUCUGGGUGUGGCUGCCUCCUGGGGACCUGCCUGGGGACUCAACCUGGAGGACCUGACCCAGGGGACAUGACCAGGGACAACCUGAUCGGGGGACCUGACCCUGGGGACGUGACCCAGAGGACCUGACCUGGGCUACGGUGCUCUUUAGCUGGAGGGGUCCCCGAGAGGGACUUGGCGGAGAGCUGCUCUGGGGGCCCCUCAGCCUCAGUCCUGUGAAUCUGGGUGUCCACCGCAGUCCCUCUGUGUGGUCUUGGUGGCUGUGUGACUUUCCCACAUUCAGCCGAUGACAACCUCAGCCAAAUGCUACGGCCUCUGGGAAAUGCCCUGAGUUUUCUUCCUGCCUCUUUGAUGGAUAUUUAUAGUUUGUGCCAUUGAUAAGGAAUACAGCCAUUUUUCGCAGACUAGCACGGUGCCCUGUGCCCCACGGGGUGACCCUGCAGACAGCAGCUCCCUCAGGACCCACAGAGAGCCCGGAGCCCUCACCGCCACCCCAGCGUUGGGAUUCUCCCCAACACGUGCCGUCCUUGUGUUCCCUGGCUCUCGAGAGCUUUCCUGCCUGUCGGGGGUGGGGUGGGGUGGGGUGAAGAUGCAGCUGUUUGUGGAUGAAAUUAAAAGAGGCCCAUUAAUAAAUCAUGUGAACCCAUUAUUCUAAAAACUACGCUGGAAAGUGAGUUGACAUAUUACAAAUGCUGUGAUUUCUAUAUUGUGAUUACUUGUCUUUUUUAAAGCAGAAUGCAUUUUAAAUAACCAGACGAAUCCUCUGAUUAACCACUGUUUGCCUAGGGACCAUGCUCACGCCCCGGGAGAGGGGCUCUCCUCCAGAGCUAAGGGGGUCACUGGAAAAGUCCCCGAUGCCCACGGUCGUGGAGGUACUUCCUGCUGCUAGACCCUCGAGCUGCCCAUUAUCCCCAAAUUCAGUGUGGGUGCAACUGAGGCUGUCCCUUUGGUGGGCUGGCCGGCUCUCAGGACGGUCACCUCUUGUGGGUCAAAUCCUGGUGAGCACUGAUUCCACCUCUGCUUCCCCAGAUCUCAGGACCUUGUUCUCUGAGAAUUGCCUGCUCCAAAGCCCCUGGCAUCGCGGGGAUCUCCUGGGAGCCUGGACCCAGGAGGGUGGAGCUGAGAAGCGGCACUUCUGCAGAUUGAAAUUGAGCAAGGCUUCGCCAUGUUCUGGGCGCGGAGAAGAUCCCAGGAAGCCAGUGGCUUGUGGAUGGGUGAGCAGAUCCUGUCUGUGCAUGGAGGAGCUCAGUCCAGCCUCCCAACAGGCAGGAGCCCUGCAGUGCACAGUGACCCGGGUGGACCUGGAGGCCCUGGCGCUCAGGGGCCUGAGCCAAGCUCAGUAAGAAGCACCACUCUACCUCCUGGGGGCAGCAGAGGGUGGGCUCUAGGAGGCAGAGCACACGGUGGCUGCCAAGGCUGGGCAGGGCCACGGCACGUUGGCCCAAGGGGCCAAGUCCACGUGGGGUGGUCGGGGUCUUACUGACUGCAGUCAGGCCGCGUGUGCCAUCUGGAGACCUCCCACAUGCACAGAUGGGGCCGUGUGGUGCCGGGUGGAUGGCUGAUCAGCUCGCGGCUAAACCAUUUCACAGCGCGUGCGCUAAGCCAUCCCAGCGCUGCCCUCGAGAAAAACGAGUUCUAUUUGUCAAUUACACCCUAAAAAAAGCUGGGGGCAGGGGCAGGCACAGUGGCACAUGCCUGUAAUCCCACUGGUUUGGGAGGCUGAGCCAGGAGGAUCACGAGUUCAAAGCCAGCCUCAGCAACUCAGCGAGUCCCUGAGCAACUCAGCGAGACUCUUUCUAAAUUAAAAAGAAAGAAAAAAGGCUGGGGAUGUUGCUCAGUGGUCGAGUGCCCCUGGAUUCAAUCUCAGGUACCAACCAAUCAGUCAAUAAACAAACAAAUAAAUAAAAGCUGGGUGGAGAAAAGUAUCCCUGGUGCAGCCUGCCCCCACCACAAGAGGCAAUCGCUCCCCUUGUGGGAGGGGUUCAGACCUCUCAGCAGGUGGCCCCAGGACCUUUCUGCAUGUGCCUGGUCCUUGGCCCUCCUGUUGCCCCAUGAGGACACAGCCGGGCACUGCCUGGGCCCGAGUCACGGUGCAGGGUCGGCCAUCAGUCUCUCCCUCCUCCUCGACUCCACAUUUGGGGAUGGAAACUCCAGCUCUUGUCCGGGUCCUGCGGUCCUGGGCUGCAAGGGUGGCUGGGAUCACAACCACAGGGUGGCAUCUGGUGCCACAGAGACCUUCAUCUUCCUCUCUGCCCAGGACCCAGGAGAGGCGUCUCAGCCCCGGGGAGGCCAAUCAGAGGCUCUCGCAGGCCCAAGCCUUGGGCGCCCAGCUCAGCCCCACAGGGGCAACCUCGUCUAGGGGCACAGGGUCCAGGGGCUCCCGCCUGCCCUCCAGAGCGCCCCGGGGAAUGUGCCUGGACAGGUAGCCUUCUCUGCACAGAGGAUAUCUGAACUCGAAGACUUGGACUUGGUCUUUGUUUGAAAGCAUGUCUUUAUUAUAGAACCCAAACCUGCUCAUGAGAGGGGGUUUUCAGAAUACCCAGGCACAAAGGCAAAGGGCAGGGUGAGCCAUCUGUAAUGCGGCUGCCCAGAGGCGACUUCUGUUAAUUUUUUUUGGUGUAUUUCCUUCCUAAAGUUGUAUCUUUUUGAGGUUGUUGUGUAGAAAACAUGGCAACCAAGUCCCAGGCCCAAUCCUGCUCUUAAAAUAGAAAGCAGGCUCCUAAUCAGGAGUCUUUUCGCCAGGAGAGGCGAUACGUCUUAGCCAGGUUUGCGAGAGGAUGGUGUCUUCUCCCCCUUCCUUCUCGCGGCACAUUAAAUCAUGGAUGAAUACAAAUGAGUUCCUCAAUUAGAAUAAAAUACCAAGACGGUCCAGUGUGCUGCGUGGCCAUGGAGAGUUCAGCUGAUGGGGGAACCAGCAGGAGGAGCUGACGGGGCGCCCAGGGGGAGCCUGCUGGGCCCGGCCGCAGUCUGUGGGGAUGCGGCUGCUCCUCGGGAGCCCCCUGGAGGAGGUGGGUUAACUACUGAGGUCGGCCCAGCGCACACCCCGUGUGCACCCGCCAGGAGCCAGCCUGCACCGGCUUCUGGAACACUUCAGCAUGGGGCAGGACACCCCGGGCAGGCACUUAUGAGUUUAAUUCUGAGAUCAGUUCUCAGUGGUGAGGUGAGUGCGUUCCCCCCUAGGAGGGGCUCCGCCUGCUCCGAGGCCUCCAGGUCCCCUUCGCAGAUCUUCCUGGUCACCUCCCAUCAUGCAUCCAAGGAACCCUCACCUGGAGAGAGUUGCUGUGUCCAUGCCUGCCCCUGGCCGAUCUCAGC
This 4549-nucleotide long non-coding RNA is filed under the name Marmota monax (woodchuck). The record is from RNAcentral. Lineage: Eukaryota; Metazoa; Chordata; Mammalia; Rodentia; Sciuridae.